UAAAGAUUUAGUUAAAAUAUAACAUUAAUUUGUCAAAUUAAAAUUAUUAUAAAAUAAUAAUCUUUAU
RNAcentral lists this transfer RNA (67 nucleotides) under Macropsis ocellata. Its description in RNAcentral is "tRNA-Asp". The record is from RNAcentral. Lineage: Eukaryota; Metazoa; Arthropoda; Insecta; Hemiptera; Cicadellidae. RNAcentral also lists the same sequence under 1 other name.